RNAcentral lists this ribosomal RNA (440 nucleotides) under uncultured bacterium. RNAcentral describes it as "partial 16S ribosomal RNA". It matches the Rfam family "Bacterial small subunit ribosomal RNA", at positions 338 to 795 of the family's 1533-position model. The record is from RNAcentral.
CCUACGGGAGGCAGCAGUGGGGAAUAUUGCACAAUGGGGGAAACCCUGAUGCAGCGACGCCGCGUGAGUGAAGAAGUAUUUCGGUACGUAAAGCUCUAUCAGCAGGGAAGAAAAUGACGGUACCUGACUAAGAAGCCCCGGCUAACUACGUGCCAGCAGCCGCGGUAAUACGUAGGGGGCAAGCGUUAUCCGGAUUUACUGGGUGUAAAGGGAGCGUAGACGGCAGCGCAAGUCUGGAGUGAAAUCCCAUGGCUUAACCAUGGGACUGCUUUGGAAACUGUGCAGCUAGAGUGCAGGAGAGGUAAGCGGAAUUCCUAGUGUAGCGGUGAAAUGCGUAGAUAUUAGGAGGAACACCAGUGGCGAAGGCGGCUUACUGGACUGUAACUGACGUUGAGGCUCGAAAGCGUGGGGAGCAAACAGGAUUAGAUACCCCAGUAGUC